This 1249-nucleotide ribosomal RNA is filed under the name Olleya marilimosa. RNAcentral's name for it is "bacterial SSU rRNA". It matches the Rfam family "Bacterial small subunit ribosomal RNA", at positions 48 to 1304 of the family's 1533-position model. RNAcentral also lists the same sequence under 1 other name. Lineage: Bacteria; Pseudomonadati; Bacteroidota; Flavobacteriia; Flavobacteriales; Flavobacteriaceae. The record is from RNAcentral.
UUAACACAUGCAAGUCGAGGGGUAGCAGGGAGCUUGCUCCGCUGACGACCGGCGAACGGGUGCGUAACGCGUAUGAAAUCUACCUCUUACUAAGGGAUAGCCCAGAGAAAUUUGGAUUAAUAUCUUAUNAGUAUACAGACCUGGCAUCAGGAUUGUAUUAAGAGGUUACGGUAAGAGAUGACUAUGCGUCCUAUUAGCUAGAUGGUGUGGUAACGGCACACCAUGGCUACGAUAGGUAGGGGCCCUGAGAGGGGGAUCCCCCACACUGGUACUGAGACACGGACCAGACUCCUACGGGAGGCAGCAGUGAGGAAUAUUGGACAAUGGAGGCAACUCUGAUCCAGCCAUGCCGCGUGCAGGAAGACUGCCCUAUGGGUUGUAAACUGCUUUUAUACAGGAAGAAACACUCUCACGUGUGAGAGCUUGACGGUACUGUAAGAAUAAGGAUCGGCUAACUCCGUGCCAGCAGCCGCGGUAAUACGGAGGAUCCAAGCGUUAUCCGGAAUCAUUGGGUUUAAAGGGUCCGUAGGUGGAUGAUUAAGUCAGAGGUGAAAUCCUGCAGCACAACUGUAGAAUUGCCUUUGAUACUGGUUGUCUUGAGUUAUUAUGAAGUAGUUAGAAUAUGUAGUGUAGCGGUGAAAUGCAUAGAUAUUACAUAGAAUACCAAUUGCGAAGGCAGAUUACUAAUAAUAUACUGACACUGAUGGACGAAAGCGUGGGGAGCGAACAGGAUUAGAUACCCUGGUAGUCCACGCCGUAAACGAUGGUCACUAGCUGUUCGGACUUUGGUUUGAGUGGCUAAGCGAAAGUGAUAAGUGACCCACCUGGGGAGUACGUUCGCAAGAAUGAAACUCAAAGGAAUUGACGGGGGCCCGCACAAGCGGUGGAGCAUGUGGUUUAAUUCGAUGAUACGCGAGGAACCUUACCAGGGCUUAAAUGUAGAUUGACAGGUUUAGAAAUAGACUUUUCUUCGGACAAUUUACAAGGUGCUGCAUGGUUGUCGUCAGCUCGUGCCGUGAGGUGUCAGGUUAAGUCCUAUAACGAGCGCAACCCCUGUUGUUAGUUGCCAGCGAGUCAUGUCGGGAACUCUAACAAGACUGCCAGUGCAAACUGUGAGGAANGUGGGGAUGACGUCAAAUCAUCACGGCCCUUACGUCCUGGGCUACACACGUGCUACAAUGGUAGGGACAGAGAGCAGCACUGGGUGACAGGAGCGAAUCUAUAACCCUAUCACAGUUCGGAUCGGAGU